UCAUGUUGAUUUAGGAAACCAGAUUGCACAAGAAAGCGCAUUAAAAUUGGCAAGAAGGAAAUCUUUGAAGAAUUGACGACAGACAAUUCAGCAGAAAGAUCAGAAAGACACAUGGGCUUUUCAUGUUUGUAGAGGACAUCAGGAAUUUCUAAUUGAAGUGCACAUUUUACCGCUGAAGAACUUACAAAGUUGAAAAUAUAAUUCCAAAUUUGAGCUUGAGCGUGAAGAAGCUCGGUGGAAGUACUCUCACUUGAUGACAUUUCUUAGAAACUUACUUAUUUGUAGAACUAAAAUGAGAAUUUAGACAAUUUUGCUGCAAUUUAGUCCUUAACUCCUUUUCUUAGUUUAUAUCCCUCAAUUUCGUGCCGUGGUAGGUUAGAAUUCUUAAGUAGACGUGUCAUCUUAAAAAUUGAAUGGUUCAAAUUUAAUCAUUUUUAAUUAAAUUUUUCUUAUUAGAAAAAUAAUUUAAAUCUAAGUAAUUGCUCACACAGUGAUAACAAAUGUAUUUACUUGCCAAUUUCAGUCAUCAAAAAAGCUUUUUUUAAAAACUGUAUGCUAAAACUAAUAAUUUAUGAAUGUACGAAAAUAAAAAUUUUAAAAAUGAGUAUCUUAAUAAAAUAAAAUAUAUAAAUUUGAUAUAGUUGCUAAGCAUAUUGAAAUAUCAAUUUCGACAAUAUUUUGAUAUGCGUAAAGAAAUAAUCAAUUUAAAGAUUAUUUUAAAAGAUGAAAAUUGAUUAAAUAUUAAAUGAUAUGAUUGUAAUUUAUAGCGAUGGCGAUACUUACCGAAGAUAUUUUACUAUUUUCUGCCAUUUUAACAGAAAUAUAUUAAAACUCAACUCCUAUUUAACUUAGGGAAGAAUGACAAAUAUACCUCCAAACUAACGUAAAUGGUAUGCAGAUUCCCUCCGUCAUACUUUUGGGACAUUGAUGCCCCUGCCCUCCAAACACUAGAGCAUAUAUACCCUUUAUACUAACGGAUAUACACGCGUCAUAAUCUUAUCCAUCGACCCGACAUUUAUUAAAUAUCGGAUCGACUGAUAAAUUGUGUCACGUGUCCCUAUUUAAUCUUCCGUUAGAGUGAAGGGCAUAUAUUCUCUAGUUUUUGGACGGCAGGGGCACCAAUGUCCCAAAAGUAUGACGGAGGGUAUCUGCAUACCAUUUACGAUAGUUCGUAAGUAUAUUUGUCCUUAAUUUUUCCCUUUAACUUAUCACUCGACAUAUUAAAAAUAAAUUUUAAUGCAAACUAAUAUAAAAUAAUUACACAAAACACUAAUUAAAAUAAUAUCUUAUAUAUAAUGAAUUUUUUUUAUUCAUCUUAAGAUGUAGUAUAAAAUUUAAGAAGAAGAAGAAUUAGUUACAGGCUGUCUUAUCAUUAUUUUUAUUAAAUAAAAAUAUAUAUUUUUCUUUGAUGAGAUUCUCUUUCACGAUAAACAAAAUAGUUCAUUUGGUUAUGUUUCUUCAAUGCCAAAAAUGUUUUAUUUUUGGAUCGAGCUCGUCGCACUAGGUUUGACUAGUGCAGGUUACCUCUUCUAUGUGGUUUAUGAGCUAUUGCAUAAGAGCAAGAUUUUUAUCAUGUUCACACUCAAAUGAUAGCAGUUGCGGAUUUCCCUUCUCAUCAAUUUUUUUAAAUUUAUUUUUAAGUUAAUUAAAGUGCAUGAUUGACCAAAAAAAAAGUAGAAGAAAAAAUAUUUUUGAGAAAGACAAAAUUUGUUUACAAGAAAGUUUAAAAAAAGUAGUUUUUUCUCGAGAAUUGUUAUUUGGAGAAUGUUUUUAAAAAAAAUACACUUUAAAUAUUUAUAAAAGAUUGAUCAAACCUCAAAUGUUCACAAAUAUUUUUUAAAUUAAUAUAAUCAAAACAAAUUGUUACUCAUCAAAAAAGAAAUUUAAAAUAAGCUAAUUUUAAAAAAAUUGGUGUAUAAAAUUGGUGAACCCCAGUUCAAGGUUGAAAAUCAAUGAUGGAUUAUCCUAUGAAAUCAGUUGUCUCACUUUUUAAAUAGGAUAAUUAAUCUUACAUUCCUGUCAUUUUAAGAUAAAAGUUAAUCAAAUAUUUAAAAAAAGAUAAUUUUUUUUAAUUUUUUUUUUUGACGUAUUCAAGCAAACAUGGCUAUUAUAUCUUUUCAAUCUAGCGAUACUUUCAACAAAUUAUGAAACACAAUGACACUUUAAAUUUUAAAGUAAAUUUGUGUUGUGUAAAUUUUUCGACUACUCUAAAUUUGAAAAGAGAUAUUUUCGAUUACUCUAAAUUCGUGUUGUAUAAGUUUCUAUUUGAAAAGAAGUUCUUCCAAAUAAUAAAAAAUUAUAUUUCAAAUUUAAAUUUGAAACCUCUAAUUAAAAAAAAAAAACAGUUCCACAUUCUUUGAUGAUCCCCAUUUUUGAAUGUAUAGGGAAACAUGGUGUUGCAGCUUUGCAUCCAUUGAUAGUCCCUAUUUUGAAUAUGCAACGUGCUAUUGUAGCUUCACAUUCGUUGAUGGUCCCUAUUUCUAAAUACAUAUAAAAAAAAGGGUAAAAAAUGUCCUUAAAAUAUGUGAAAGGAAUAAAAAUAUCAUCCCUUUAUAGUUUGGCUCAAAAAUGUCCUUAUCGUCAAUACUUUGUUUCAAAAAUGCCCUUGCAAUCAAUACUUUGGUCUAGAAAUGCCCCCAUAGUUACAAAAUGUGUCAAAAAUGCCCUUUUCCAAAUAAAUAUAUAUAUAUAUAUAUAUAUAUAUUAUUUUUUUCCUUUUAAACACAUCUUCUUCCUAAUUAAAAAUAUUAUUAAAGAACACUAUUCUUGUUUUCUUUCUUCUAAAAUCAGUUUAACAAAUAAAAAAGUAGAAAAUAUUAUUUUUUUCUUCUUAAUCUCAUUUUAUCAAUUAAAAUAGAAUAAUUUCAUGUAUCCUUUCGACAAAUAAUAUAUAUCAUAUAUAUAAGAUCAUAGUAUAUCUAUCAUUUAUUUAUAUGUAUAUAACGAUAAAAAAUAAUGAUAAUAAAAUAAGAAAUAUUUUCAUUUUUUAUUUUUUUCUGGAUUGAAGUAAGAUAAACAUUUGCUAAUUUUAAAAAAAUAUUAUUAGAAAAAGAAUGUGUUAGAAAGAAAAUAAUAAUAUAUUUAUUUGGAAAAUGAGUAUUUUACCCAUUAAAUAAGAAUAAGGGCAUUUUUGGACCAAAAUAUUGACGGCAAGGGCAUUUUUGGACCAAACUACAAACGGAGGGCAUUUUUUUAUCCUUACGCAUAGUUUAAGGGCAUUUUUGAACCAAAGUAUUGACGGUCAGAGCAUUUUUGAGUCAAACUAUAAACGGAGGGUAUUUUUGUCCCUUUCACAUAGUUUAAGGACAUUUUCGACCAUUUUCCUAAAAAAAAUGAUGUUGUAGCUCCACAUCUGUUAAUGAUCUCUAUUUUUUAUAUGCAUAGGAAACACAUGAUAUUGCAGCUCCACGUUUGUUGAUGGUCUCGAUUUUUUAAUAUGCAUAGGGAAACAUGGUUUUGCAGCUCCACGUUCGUUGAUGAUCCUUAUUUUUGAAUAUGCAAUGCGGUAUUGCAACCCCACAUUUGUUGAUGGUCCCUAUUUCUAAAUAUAUGUAAUAAAAAAACACUACUAGAAAAACUCAAAUUACAUGGGGAUUUUCUUGGGAAUUUUGAAACAAAAUCUGCAAGUAUCAAAGUUUGUUGCGAAUUUUCCUUAAAAUCAAAAUCCAUUGGAAAUAAGCUCCUAGGUAAUUAUUACCUGCGGAUUUUAAAAUCUCCAAGUAUGUUAUCUGGGGAUAUUAAUUUCACAUGUAAUUUACCUACGAAUUUUUUCACAAGAAAUUCUGAAAAUUCGCAAGUAAUUUUUGAUAAAAAUUUGUGAGAUGAGAAGGGAUUAAUUAUUUUAUUGUCUUUUGUUUUCUCUAUAUUUAAUUUAUUUUUUCUUGUUCUAUUUAUGUCUAUUUAUUUUCUCUAUAUUUAAUUUAUUUAUCCCUCCAAUUUAAUUAAUUUAAUAGUGCCUCUAUUUGUUUUUCUCAAUUUAAUUAAUUUAAUAGUGCACACAAACUAUUUAGCUCCACAUCUGUUAAUGAUCUCUAUUUUUUAUAUGCAUAGGAAACACAUGAUAUUGCAGCUCCAUGUUUGUUGAUGGUCUCUAUUUUUUAAUAUGCAUAGGGAAACAUGGUGUUGCAGUUGCACGUUCGUUGAUGAUCCUUAUUUUUGAAUAUGCAAUGCGGUAUUGCAACUCCACAUUUGUUGAUGGUCCCUAUUUCUAAAUAUAUGUAUAAAAAAACACUACUAGAAAAACUCAAAUUACAUGGGAUUUUCUUUGAAAUUUUGAAACAAAAUCUGCAAGUAUGAAAGUUUGUUGCGAAUUUUCCUGCCAACCAAAAUCCAUUGGAAAUAAGCUCCUAGGUAAUUAUUACCUGUGGAUUUUUAAAAUCCCCAAGUAUGUUAUCUGGGGAUAUUAAUUUCACAUGUAAUUUACCUACGGAUUUUUUCACAAGAAAUUCUGAAAAAUCGCAAGUAAUUUUUGAUAAAAAUUUGUGAGAUGAGAAGGGAUUAAUUAUUUUAUUUUGUCGUUUGUUUUCUCUAUAUUUAUUUUGUAUUUUCUUGUUCUAUUUAUGUCUAUUUAUUUUCUCUAUAUUUAAUUUGUUUAUCCCCCCAAUUUAAUUAAUUUAAUAGUGCCUCUAUUUGUUUUUCUCCCCAAUUUAAUUAAUUUAAUAGUGCACACAAACUAUUUAGUCAACCCUAACUAAUUGCCGAGCAGUACUUAUUAUUUAGGUUCCUAAUUUAAUUCCUAAAAGACUGAAAAAUUAAUUACUAAUCACGUUAGGAGGAAGCCUUAUAAGGCUGAACUUUUUAUCCUCAUCCACCGAUGUGGUAUAGAAUCAGUGAUUCACAAAAUUAUUUUUUUUUUUCCAAUUUUUCUUCAAUAAAUCAAUGUGUUAAAAUAUUUAUUUAUUCUCUAUUUCUAAUAUGUGUAAAUAAAGUAUUUCAUCCAGUUCAAAUUACAUUUUCUUUUAAUAUACGUAAAUAAAGUAUUUCCUUCGUCUCAUGUGUCAUCUUGAGAUCCAAACAUAUUUUUAUUUUACCAUACUUUCUUGAUAUAUUUUUAAAAAAUAUUUCAAUUAAUUAUUAUUAUUUAUAGUACUUUUAUCUAGUUUUCAAAUAUGUAAAUUUUAUUUCAAAAAAUUUAAAGAUUUUAUGCUUAAAUUUAUGAUCAAAAUUAAAUUGUUUGACUCUCAAUAUUAUGCAACAUAAAUUGGAUAUACAUUUUUCAAAAAUAUUUUUACUAUAAAUUUAUCUAUUGUAGAAGACAAUUAAACUUUAUGCUAAUAACAAAUAUAAAUAAAAUAUUCCCUACUUAAAACGUAUACUUAUUUACUCCGUAAUACACAAUUUAAUGAAAUGCAGAAAGCCAUAUUUCAAAAUUUUAAUUGAGUUUUAUUUAAAUUAGUCAAUGAUUAAAAUUAUUUACUGUUCUUCAAUUAAAAAUGAAACCGAGAUAUUUAUUAUAAUGCCUCCAAUAAAACAUUAAAUUUCAUAAAAUAAUUAAUAGUAUAUGAUAAUUGGUAAAAUUGUUUCACCAGUUUUAACCACAUUAAUUAAGAGAGUGUUUUCAAACAAAAAAAAAACAUUUAUCGCUACAAAAAUGUUCCCAUAAUUUCAAAUUUAAACAAUCUAACUAAUUCGCAAUGACAAUACCUUGAGUAAUUUCCCUAGUAUGUAAUUUUCGGGUAAAGUCUCAUUAAGUAAAUCCAUAUCUAAAUUCGUAGAAACAAACUCCCAAGUAAUUCUCUAACUUAAAAAAAGUUUAAUUUUUUAAAUAUCCCCAACUAAAUCCAUAGGUAAUUUUACUUGGGGAUUUUUCUGCCAAAUAAUAAAGGAAUUUAUUUUUGUUCAUUUACUUGUGAAUUUAUCUACGAAAAUAUUACGUGCAGACUAAUUUACCCAACUAAUUCUCCAAGUAUUAUUUUUGCGCCAAAUUUACCUGCGGAUUUUCCUUGAAAAAAAUUUACGCAGGUAAAAUAUUGCAUAACUUAGGAAUUUUAUAAUUUUGCAUGUAAAUUCGUAGGAAAUUCCUGCGGAUAGAAUUCCUAGGUAAAAUUCCCAAGUAAUUCACAGUUUUCUUGUAGUGAAAAAUGUUGUAGCUCCACAUCUGUUAGUAAUCUCUAUUUUUAAAUAUGCAUAGAAAAAUAUGAUAUUGCAGCUCCACUUUCGUUGAUGAUCCUUAUUUUUGAAUAUGCAAUGUGGCAUUGCAACUCCACAUUUGUUGAUGGUCCCUAUUUCUAAAUAUAUGUAUAAAAAAAAAUGUUAUAGCUCCACAUCUAUUAGUAAUCUCUAUUUUUAAAUAUGCAUAAAAAAAAAUGAUAUUGUAGCUCCACGUUCGUUGAUGAUCCUUAUUUUUGAAUAUGCAAUGUGGUAUUGCAACUCCACAUUUGUUGAUGGUCCCUAUUUCUAAAUAUAUGUAUAAAAAAAUGUUGUAGCUCCACAUCUGUUAGUAAUCUCUAUUGUUAAAUAUGCAUAGAAAAAUAUGAUAUUGCAGCUCCACGUUCGUUGAUGAUCCUUAUUUUUGAAUAUGCAAUGUGGUAUUGCAACUCCACAUUUAUUGAUGGUUCCUAUUUCUAAAUUUAUGUAUAUAAAAAAAAUGUUGUAGCUCCACAUCUGUUAGUAAUCUCUAUUUUUAAAUAUGCAUAAAAAAAAAUGAUAUUGUAGCUCCACGUUUGUUGAUGUUCCUUAUUUUUGAAUAUGCAAUGUGGUAUUGCAACUCCACAUUUAUUGAUGGUUCCUAUUUCUAAAUUUAUGUAUAUAAAAAAAAUGUUGUAGCUCCACAUCUGUUAGUAAUCUCUAUUUUUAAAUAUGAAUAGAAAAAUGUGAUAUUGCAGCUCCACGUUCGUUGAUGAUCCUUAUUUUUGAAUAUGCAAUGUGAUAUUGCAACUCCACAUUUGUUGAUGGUCCCUAUUUCUAAAUAUAUGUAUAAAAAAAAAUGUUGUAGCUCCACAUCUGUUAGUAAUCUCUAUUUUUAAAUAUGCAUAAAAAAAUAUGAUAUUGUAGCUCCAUGUUCGUUGAUGUUCCUUAUUUUUGAAUAUGCAAUGUGAUAUUGCAACUCCACAUUUGUUGAUGGUCCCUAUUUCUAAAUAUAUGUAUAAAAAAAAAUGUUGUAGCUCCACAUCUGUUAGUAAUCUCUAUUUUUAAUUAUGCAUAGAAAAAUAUGAUAUUGCAGCUCCACGUUCGUUGAUGAUACUUAUUUUUGAAUAUGCAAUGUGGUAUUGCAACUCCACAUUUAUUGAUGGUUCCUAUUUCUAAAUUUAUGUAUAUAAAAAAAAUGUUGUAGCUCCACAUCUGUUAGUAAUCUCUAUUUUUAAAUAUGCAUAGAAAAAUAUGAUAUUGCAGUUCCACGUUCGUUGAUGUUCCUUAUUUUUGAAUAUGCAAUGUGGUAUUGCAACUCCACAUUUAUUGAUGGUUCCUAUUUCUAAAUUUAUGUAUAUAAAAAAAAUGUUGUAGCUCCACAUCUGUUAGUAAUCUCUAUUUUUAAAUAUGCAUAGAAAAAUAUGAUAUUGCAGUUCCACGUUCGUUGAUGUUCCUUAUUUUUGAAUAUGUACUUGGGAAACAUGCAUGGUGUUUGACAUGCUGGUGGGCUGCUGUCCGUAUUUAACAUUUAGUUUUAUUUAGGUGUACCCUACUAUAUGCAAUUUUUUCCUCCAUUGAUUUUUGUCAUUUGCAAUUGAAAAAUUACUCUAUUUCUUGUAUUAAAGAAAAAGAGCUUUAUGGGUGUGAUUUAUAACUUAGUUUGUUUAUGAAGUUUUAAGAGAUAUUUUUUCCCCCCAAAAUAAUUUGCUACAAAGACAUGAUCAUCUUUGCGUAAGCUAUUGACUUUCCUUAUUUUCCUUUUCUUCAAUUAAUUUUAUUUAAUUUUAGAUGAAUUAUGUAGUUAUAGUUAUUUGCAUAUAUCUAUGUAGUUAUAGUUAUUUGCAUAUAUCUAUGGUGAGCCUCCUUGUUUCCGGAGGAUUUCAUUUACUUUUCAGUUUAGUCAGGAUGUCGUGGGUCUUGAUCCGACUUCCAUCUUUAUCAGUUAGAGGCUUCAUAGAUAGUCAGUAUAGUUGAGAAGUCUGUAUUAUUCAUUUAUUUUAUUAAAUGUUUUAAAGAUUUAAGUUGCCUAUUUUAUGGCAACUUGAAUAUAUUAUUUUUAUUCUAAGUUGUUCAUUUGAGUUAAAGUUUCAAAAAGUUGAGUUUAUUGAAUUUUAUUUAGUUUUAAGCUUUUGCAUGCUUAAGUUAGUCUUCCGCUUGUAGUAAGCCAGGAUGAGGGUUCGCUUGGGGACCAUCAAUGGUUCUUGAGUGCCGGCCACGUCCAGGAUGUAGACUCAUGUCAUGACAAUACGGUCCUUAGUCAUCCUUGCGAAUAAAUAUUGAAUGAUUCUCAAGAUGUACGCAACACCAAAUCAAUGAAUUAAAUAAGAGACAAUUUGGAUUAGCUGAGUAAAUAGUUGAUCAAAACUGCCCCACAUAUGGUCCUUAUUUUUGAAUUAUGUAUGUAUAAGAAACAUGUGUUUGUUGUCCGUAUUUAAACUUCAAUUUUAUUUAAUAGGUGUACCCUACUAUAAGCAACUUGACGUGUUGGUGGGAUUUAUUGAUUGACGUAAAAUACAUGUCCGAAAUAUAUACAUUAAACUAGUUACUUUUUGAGGGACUUUCGCAAAUAGCUAUUAUAAUAAACUUAAUUAUGCACCAUAGCUAUAGUUUGCAUAUUUAUGGGUUGUAGCUAUAGUUCAAGCUGCCUCAUUUGUAUAAUUCGUGGAUUUGUAUAAUUCGCGAGUACAUUUGUAUAAUUCAGUUAUUUUUGUAUAAACUCAAAAUAACGAAUUUAUACAAUUACAAACAUCAGAAGUGUAAACAGUUAUACAAAUUUCGAAUUAUACAAAAGUUAUACAGAUUAUAUUAUAUAAAUUUCAAAUUAUACAAAACUAAAAAGUUGAGCCGCGUAAUUAUAUCUAAAAGUAGGUUGCAAAUUGUAAUUAAGGCUAACUAUAGCUAUGUUAAGUAAUUAACUAGUAUAUGUUUGCUUAUGCACGUAAUUUUCCCUUACUUUUUUUUUUGUCUCUUUUUACUUGUUUAAUUUUAAUUUUUUACUUGUUAUUUUUGACAAAUUAAGAAAUAACAAUAUUUUUUUUAUCUAUUAUAUCCUCAGUCUAUUUAGAUAGUUAAUGUUUUUUAACAAGGUUGAAUCUCUUUAACGAGUAGAUUGAUUUUGAAAUUCUAUCAAUUAAUAGGAAUAAAAUAAUAAACUUAAUAUGUUAAUUAUUAUUUUAUCAAUAGGUGUGUCAAGUUAAAAAUGGACUAGUAAUUAGAAACAGAGAAAGUAUAUUAAAAGCAUAAAUGUUCUUAGAGAGUAGAGUUGUAAAAUUUUCUUUCAUAAACAUGUAUGUAAUUUUUUUAUAUUCUUAAGUUAUUUAUUUACCUAUCUAAUUAUACAUUAACACGCCACUUCAAGUUUCAUAAGCCGUUCUGUCGGUGAAUGUUACCUUUGCAUUAAGGAUGAUAUAUGAUAUCUAGUAGAACACUUGUGAAGUUGAAUUAUUUUAUGUUAUUGUUACAAAUAAAAGAAAUUAUUUAUAAUCUAAUACUUGUUGUAACUUCAUAAUUAUGUUAACAUUUCUUUUCUCUUUUACUUUAUUCACUACUGUAUUUAAUGUGUUAGUAAUUAACAAUAAUUUUGAAUUCAAUUUUGAAAGUUUAUCUCAAAUGUUAUUUCAAUAAGUUUGUGAUUUAUAACUUCUUCUUUUUAUAAAGUUUUGAGAGAGAUAUCUUUUCACGUCAAAUAAUUGUGCUUGUGUGAUACAGAAAGCUUAACUCACAUGUUUAUACUAUGUAAUAAAUAUCUUGCUAUUGAACCUCUAAUUUCUUACAAUAUCUCUAUAUCUAUCUAAUAACUAAUAUUAUAAUUAUAAUAUAAUUCAUAAAAGACUUUCUGCUUAAAUAAUCCAUAUCAUUAAAGGUUAUGAAAAUUACAUAAAGUAAUUAAUUUUGUGUAAAAAUGAUAUGACUAUGCAAAUUGUUUUGAACUUUUAAACACAAUUGUGUUGUAUCUUGUUCUUUACAAUGGUAUUAUAUUGCGCAACAAAAUGUGAUUUAGAAAACACCAUAUUUAGAAAUAAUUUAGAGCGAAAGCUACGAUUAAAAAUAUUUUUCGUCAAUUUAUUGGAACUUCUUAGAUUAAGUAAGCCUCAUUUAGAAAUUGUUUUAGAGAAAUCAUUAAUUGUCAAUAUAUCCCGACAUCUAUUUAAGAAUUAAGAGAGCUCAUUUUUAUAGUAAUAUAAUGACUUUAUAUUACAAUCAAAACAAAUUAUUCAUCUAAUAAUAUAAUAAAACGAGAACAAAACUUUCUAUGUUCUCUCUUUAAGGAUAAAUUUCAAUAAGAGACCUUAAACCUAGAACAUGAAAUAUUUUGUAUUCGUUGAAGCCGGCCUCAAUGAAGAGCUUCUCCCACUCUUUCUCUGUUCUCUCUUUGGCACCACAAAGAACCAUCAUCAACAUAUCCAUGUUAUGUUGUGCUCGAACAAACUCAUUUCUCUCUUUUGGAUUCUCCAAUACGAUAUCUAUGAUUAUUACUUUCCCUCCUUUUGCCCUGCUUGGAAUUGACUCUUUGCAUUUCUUCAGUAUCCUCACACAAUUUUCAUCAUUCCAGUCGUGUAGAACACUCUGUUCAAUGAUGAAUUAGGUUGAGAAGGAUUGAAAGAGAGAAGAAUAUGUUUUGUAUAUGUAUGUACCUUGAGUAAGAUGGCAUUAGCAUGAGGAAUCUUAUCGAACAUAUCUCCUCCAAUGAAGGCCAAAUUUCCACUUCCUUUUAGGUCGCCUAUAACCUGAGGGAGAUCAAGUACCGCACAAUUUAUGUUAGGGAAAGCUUUGGCUAUGGCUAUAGCCACAGUACCAGUGCCACCACCAACGUCUACCAACGAUGUUAACCCCUCAAACACAUGUUUACACUCUGUAAUAAGUACAUUGGUAAUCAACCUCGAGUCACUAGCCAAUGCAUCAUAAAAAAUAUCACCUAGUACUCUAUGUUUUUCUUCCCCCAUGUAAUCCCAUAAAGAUUUUCCAUGAGCGGUAUGAAAAGGAGUGGGAGAAUCAUUUUGAAACCAAUCACUUAGCUCAUGCCAUGCUUUUGAGCAGGCUUGAAUAUUGGUGAAAAGCAAGAAUGACCUAACAUUGAACGGCUCAUUUUUCACUAGAAGGCGACUAGCUGGAGUAAGAAAGUAGUGAUCUUCAUGUUGAUUUAGGAAACCAGAUUGCACAAGAAAGCGCAUUAAAAUUGGCAAAAAGGAAAUUUUGGAAGAAUUGACAACAGACAGUUUAGCAGAAAGAUCAGAAAGACACAUGGGCUUUUCAUGUUUGUAGAGCACAUCAGGGAUUCCUAGUUGAAAUGCACAUGUUACCGCUGAAGAACUUAUAAAGUUAAAAAUAUAAUUCCAAAUUUGUUCUUGAGCAUGAAGAAGCUCGGUGGAGAUAGUCUCACUCGUUGACAUUUUUUAAGGAACUUAUUUUUCUUAGAUUUUUCAAUAAGUCAUGUAGAACUCAAAUAAGCAUUUUGCCAGAUUUGGUCUAUCUUUGGUGCAAUUUAUAAUCAUUUUCUUAGUGUAGUUUGUGUUCUAGUUUUGAUGCAGUUUUUAUCAGUAAC
This 11611-nucleotide long non-coding RNA is filed under the name Solanum tuberosum (potato). Its description in RNAcentral is "long non-coding RNA (STUB_LNC002041)". Lineage: Eukaryota; Viridiplantae; Streptophyta; Magnoliopsida; Solanales; Solanaceae. The record is from RNAcentral.